ACCUACCAAGGCGACGAUCGGUAGCUGGUUUUGAGAGGAUGACCAGCCACACUGGGACUGAGACACGGCCCAGACUCCUACGGGAGGCAGCAGUGGGGAAUUUUCCGCAAUGGGCGAAAGCCUGACGGAGCAAUACCGCGUGAGGGAAGAAGGCUUUUGGGUUGUAAACCUCUUUCGUCAGGGAGGAAGAAUUGACGGUACCUGAAGAAAAAGCAUCGGCUAACUCCGUGCCAGCAGCCGCGGUAAUACGGAGGAGGCAAGCGUUAUCCGGAAUUAUUGGGCGUAAAGCGUCCGCAGGGGGCACAUCAAGUCUGCUGUUAAAGGCUGGAGCUUAACUCCGGUAGAGCAGUGGAAACUGGUGUGCUAGAGGGCGACAGGGGUAGAGGGAAUUCCCAGUGUAGCGGUGAAAUGCGUAGAGAUUGGGAAGAGCACCGGUGGCGAAAGCGCUCUACUGGGUCGCACCUGACCCUCAGGGACGAAAGCUAAGGUAGCGAAAGGGAUUAGAUACCCCUGUAGUCUUAG
Molecule: ribosomal RNA, 522 nt
Filed under: uncultured Euhalothece sp.
Lineage: Bacteria; Bacillati; Cyanobacteriota; Cyanophyceae; Chroococcales; Halothecacae
Description: bacterial SSU rRNA
Rfam family: Bacterial small subunit ribosomal RNA
Source: RNAcentral